Molecule: transfer RNA, 72 nt
Filed under: Calothrix sp. NIES-3974
Lineage: Bacteria; Bacillati; Cyanobacteriota; Cyanophyceae; Nostocales; Calotrichaceae
Also listed under: 2 other names
Rfam family: tRNA
About the family: Transfer RNA (tRNA) molecules are approximately 80 nucleotides in length. Their secondary structure includes four short double-helical elements and three loops (D, anti-codon, and T loops). Further hydrogen bonds mediate the characteristic L-shaped molecular structure. tRNAs have two regions of fundamental functional importance: the anti-codon, which is responsible for specific mRNA codon recognition, and the 3' end, to which the tRNAs corresponding amino acid is attached (by aminoacyl-tRNA synthetases). tRNAs cope with the degeneracy of the genetic code in two manners: having more than one tRNA (with a specific anti-codon) for a particular amino acid; and 'wobble' base-pairing, i.e. permitting non-standard base-pairing at the 3rd anti-codon position.
Source: Rfam by way of RNAcentral
GGCGACAUCGCCAAGUGGUAAGGCAGAGGUCUGCAAAACCUCCAUUCCCCGGUUCAAAUCCGGGUGUCGCCU